Molecule: ribosomal RNA, 232 nt
Filed under: Listeria monocytogenes
Lineage: Bacteria; Bacillati; Bacillota; Bacilli; Caryophanales; Listeriaceae
Description: partial 23S ribosomal RNA
Rfam family: Bacterial large subunit ribosomal RNA
Source: RNAcentral
GAAUAGGCCCAGGCGACUGAUUAGCAAAAACACAGGACUCUGCAAAACCGAAAGGUGACGUAAAGGGGCUGACGCCUGCCCGGUGCUGGAAGGUAAAGAGGAGUGCUUAGCAUCGGCGAAGGUACGAAUUGAAGCCCCAGUAAACGGCGGCCGUAACUAUAACGGUCCAAAGGUAGCGAAAAUCCUUGUCGGGUAAGUUCCGACCCGCACGAAAGGCGCAACGAUCUGGGCA